This 377-nucleotide unclassified non-coding RNA is filed under the name uncultured Actinomycetes bacterium. Its description in RNAcentral is "uncultured actinobacterium contains 16S-23S intergenic spacer region". The record is from RNAcentral. Lineage: Bacteria; Bacillati; Actinomycetota; Actinomycetes.
CCCGAGUUGUCCCCGGCAGUCCCCUUAGAGUCCCCGGCUUUACCCGCUGGCAACAUCGAACGAGGGUUGCGCUCGUUGCGGGACUUAACCCAACAUCUCACGACACGAGCUGACGACAGCCAUGCACCACCUGUAUACCGACCUUGCGGGGGCUACAUCUCUGCAGCUUUCCGGCAUAUGUCAAACCCAGGUAAGGUUCUUCGCGUUGCAUCGAAUUAAUCCGCAUGCUCCGCCGCUUGUGCGGGUCCCCGUCAAUUCCUUUGAGUUUUAGCCUUGCGGCCGUACUCCCCAGGCGGGGCACUUAAUGCGUUAGCUACGGCACGGAACCCGUUGAUAAGGCCCCACACCUAGUGCCCAACGUUUACGGCGUGGACUAC